This is a long non-coding RNA of Aquila chrysaetos chrysaetos, 381 nucleotides long. RefSeq lists it as uncharacterized. The record is from RefSeq and is a predicted model, not a curated record. The transcript has 3 exons. Lineage: Eukaryota; Metazoa; Chordata; Aves; Accipitriformes; Accipitridae.
GCGGGCGAAGCGCCGCCGUCACCAUCCCCAGGAGACGACGGCGGGGUGCGCUAAGUGCUGAAUUUCCUGCAUUUCAACUGUUGCAGUGCAAAGAUGAAACAGAGGAUGCUGAUGUCGCUUUUACCACUACAAGACAUUUGUGAGGACUGAGUCCAUCACGGCUGAUCCCUCAUGUCUGCAACUUCAAACCCCGUGAGAUGCAGCAUAGGCCUGGCUCCAGCCACGUCUAACUCACACACCUGCCUGGUUGAACAGUAAAAGAAUGUGAGCAGGAACAUACCAUCUUUGUUUUACAUGACGCAUUCCUAGGGUGCAUGGUGACUAAAGAGUUAUCUGUGCAGACACACAAGAGUUUAAUGAGUUUCAGAAGGAAGGUGAAUU